GUAUUGAAACCAAUGGGAGUUAGGCACCUAAAUACUUUUAUUUCGUGCCUGUCUCUGCAGGGGGUGAGAGGAGCCCCAGCUGGGGCGCUGCAGUCGGGAAUCCAGCGGUGCAGACUCCAGAGGCCUCGGCUACAUGUGAGCUCCUGGCCCGGCGCCUGGCUGCCCUGGAGGCAGAGUUAGCUGCAGCCCACCUGCAAAGCCAUGAGGACACCGAGCACUGGGAGAGACGCUGCAGGACCAUGGCAGCCGAGUGGGAGGAGGAGAGGCAGAGAUUAUUGCAGCAGCCACGGCAGCCACAGGAGACGGCGCGUCCAGCAGAGACGGCGCAGCACCUGGAGACAUCCCAUCGGGGGCAGCCAAUGAAGCGGGUGGCUGUGGUGCAGCCAGCGCAGCAAUGGGAGACAGCUCAGCAGGUGGAGACAGUGCUGCAGAACCUGCCAAUGCAGCAGGGGCUGGUGGUGCAACUGGUGCAGCCGUUGGAGAUGGUGCAGCAGGUGCAGCUGGUUGAGCGAGUGGAGCCAGCCCCACAGAUGUCUGCAGCUGGAUCGCAGUUGACUUUGGAGGCCAGAGGCUUCCCAGAGCCGACUCUGCCUCCCACUCCUGCUGGAGGAGCCGCUCCUUCCCCAGGGCCCACCAGGCAGAGGGGCGCCCCCAGAGCAGGUGCUUCCCCGGAUGCCCUGUCCCAGUCCCAGUGCGGGGCGAUCGCAGCGCCUGCAGCAGGACGCCGUGGAGUCGACAGCCACGUGGUGGCCUUCAUAGAGACCUUGCGGGCAGGACUUAUGGCUAAAGAGCUCCACGUGCUGGCUCGGCUCCUGGACGGCCCGUGUGGCAGGCUGACGACAGAACUCCCCGCGGCCCCUGAGGAAGCAGCAGGAGUUGAAAUCCACACGCUGCUUGGGAACGCUACCCUAGGUACGGGACUCGCCGGGCCUGAGACGCCCAGCCCGGCAUGGUAAGGCUGCCCCAGGGCUCUACAGCGCUGGGUGCAGUCUCCAGAGCAACUGACUGUGAAGCUGAGC
This 1019-nucleotide long non-coding RNA is filed under the name Chrysemys picta bellii (western painted turtle). RNAcentral describes it as "lncRNA (ENSCPBG00000006183.1)". The record is from RNAcentral. Lineage: Eukaryota; Metazoa; Chordata; Testudines; Emydidae.